RNAcentral lists this ribosomal RNA (486 nucleotides) under uncultured bacterium. Its description in RNAcentral is "bacterial SSU rRNA". It matches the Rfam family "Bacterial small subunit ribosomal RNA", at positions 33 to 507 of the family's 1533-position model. The record is from RNAcentral.
GGACGACGCUGGCGGCGUGCUUAACACAUGCAAGUCGAACGGAAAGGCCCAGCUUGCUGGGUACUCGAGUGGCGAACGGGUGAGUAACACGUGGGUGAUCUGCCCUGCACUCUGGGAUAAGCCUGGGAAACUGGGUCUAAUACCGGAUAUGACCAACUGUCGCAUGGUGGUUGGUGGAAAGCUUUUGCGGUGUGGGAUGGGCCCGCGGCCUAUCAGCUUGUUGGCGGGGUAAAGGCCCACCAAGGCGACGAUCCGUAGCUGGUCUGAGAGGAUGAUCAGCCACACUGGAACUGAGACACGGUCCAGACUCCUACGGGAGGCAGCAGUAGGGAAUAUUGGACAAUGGGCGCAAGCCUGAUCCAGCCAUGCCGCGUGAGUGAAGAAGGCCCUCGGGUUGUAAAGCUCUUUUGUCCGGAAAGAAAAGCGCCGGGUUAAUACCCUGGUGUCCUGACGGUACCGGAAGAAUAAGCACCGGCUAACUUCGUG